Molecule: ribosomal RNA, 484 nt
Filed under: uncultured bacterium
Lineage: Bacteria
Description: partial 16S ribosomal RNA
Rfam family: Bacterial small subunit ribosomal RNA
Source: RNAcentral
AUUGAACGCUGGCGGCAGGCCUAACACAUGCAAGUCGAGCGGAGGCUGGGAGGUCGCUCCUGGAGUCAGCGGCGGACGGGUGAGUAAUGCUUAGGAAUAUGCCUGGUAGUGGGGGAUAAGGCACGGAAAGGGGAGAUAAUACCGCAUACGUCCUGAGGGUGAAAGUGGGGGAUCUGAGGACCUCACGCUGUUAGUGCAGCCUGGGUCGGAUUAGCUAGUUGGUGGGGUAAAGGCCUACCAAGGCGACGAUCAGUAACUGGUCUGAGAGGAUGAUCAGCCACACUGGAACUGAGACACGGCCCAGACUCCUACGGGAGGCAGCAGUGGGGAAUAUUGCACAAUGGGCGAAAGCCUGACCCAGCAAUGCCGCGUGGGUGAAGAAGGAUUUCGGUUGGUAAAGCACUUUAGUUAGGGAGGAAGGGCAGUAUGUUAAUACCUCAGUUAAGAGACGUUACCAAAAGAGAAAGCACCGGCUAACUUCGUG